GUGGUGGCUGGGUUUAGUGCCCAGAGUGUUUGUGUGCAUGUCUAUAUGUAUCCAUAUGACUGUUAAUGUGCAUAUGUGUGUUUGUGCGUGUGUGUGUGAAUUGAUGUACCUGUGUAUGUGUGUUGGUAUGUCAGUGUGCGUGCCCAAAUAUGUAUGUGCCUAUGUGUGUCUGUAUGAAGGAAUGGGGAUAGGAAUGUUGAGGAUAUUGUCUCAUAAAAGAAGCUGUACAUCCAGUUCUAGGUCAGGGCACCUACAGGAAUCUCAGCCUCCACAGGCAGCUUAGACUUGCCAAGACCACGAACAGGACUGAGUCACUGUAGGGGAAAAGAGGAUUAACACAAAAAAGGCUUUUUAUGUACUAUAGGGGGGGACAUCCUGACCCAAGAAGCAAUGCCCUAUUCUAGAACAGCAGAUUGAUGUCAAUCCUUUCAUCCCAGAGCCCAGUAAUGCCCUGACCCAGGCCUGGUGUUAAGGGUAGAGGCAAGUCCAGGAGUGAUGUCUUUAGCUAAGAAUCCUGGUGGAAAGUCUUUUUCCAUAUUUACCUCUUAUUUUGCAAAAUACUCACACUUUGGUCUCACUUAGAUCAUUGAUAUGGCACAUUUGGUCUUCCUGAGGAAUAAGAGAGUUCUCCACAAAGGCUGAAUAAAUGGGAAUUCAUCUUUCCUAAGCAGGAACCUAAGCAGUGCACAGGGAAGGUCUCAUUGUCCCCAUGUUUACAGGUCCCAGGAGAGUAGAACCCUGCCUCUCUUUAGCUUGCUUCUGGAAUCUGGGAAUGGUUUGGAGCCUGGAGAAGGAAGAGGCCAAGGCAGCAGCCAUCUGGGGCCCAGGAGGAUGGAAGUGCUGCAGCCCUGACUACACUGAGCUGUUGAGUCUGUACCUCCCACCUCCAACAUCUUCAUCUGCUGCUACCCUCCCUUUGGCUUGGUCAGGGACUACUGAUGCAGUCCUUCUCUUGUAGGCUAGUAUCGCUAGUAUCAUGUCAGAAUAAUAAAUCCUAUAGUUCAGCUCCCGUGUGUCCCUGGUUUUCUGUUAUUAUUGCAGUUUCAGUUUGUGAAACUGAAUUAAAAAAAAAAAACUCAUUUAAAAUAGAGCUGAGAGAAAAGCAGCCUAUGGAAUAGAAGAUAUUUGUAAAUGAUAUAUCCAAUAAAGGGUUAGUAUCCAAAAUAUAUAAAAAACUGAUGCAAUGCAGCACCCAAAAAACACAUAAUCCAAUUUAAAAAUGGGAAGAAGAUGUUUCUCUAUGGAAGACAUCCAGAUGGCCAACAGAUACAUGAAAAGAUGCUCAACAUAACUUAUCAUCUGGGAAAUACAAAUCAAAAUCACAAUGAGAUGCCACCUCACACCUGUCAGAAUGGCUAAAAUCAAAAACACAAGAAAUAACAAGUGUUGACAAGGGUGUGGAGAAAAAGGAACUCUUUUGCACUGUUGGUAGGAAUGCAAACUGGUGUAGCUACUGUGGAAAAGAGUAUGGAAGUUGCUCAAAAAGUUAAAAGUAAAACCACCCUGCAAUCAAUUAUUACACUAUUAGGAAUAUACCUCCAAAAUACAAAAACACUAA
Molecule: long non-coding RNA, 1558 nt
Filed under: Mustela putorius furo (domestic ferret)
Lineage: Eukaryota; Metazoa; Chordata; Mammalia; Carnivora; Mustelidae
Description: lncRNA (ENSMPUG00000025112.1)
Source: RNAcentral